UAUUAUUUAUUUAUUGUUUUUAGUUUUUUAUUUAUUUUUAUUUUAAAUAUUAUUAUUUUAUUUUCUUUAAAAAAUUUAAUUUAUUAUAGUUUAAUAGUAAAGUGAUUUAUUAUUUGUUAAUAAAAUUUAAGAAAAAUUUAUUUUUUGUACCUUGUGUAUCAGGGUUUAUUAAUUAAUUUAUAAAUAUAUUAUUUUUCCCGAAUUAAAAAGAUUUAAUUAAUUAUUAUUUUGAAUGUAUUAAAAUUCUUAUUAAUAAUAAAUUAGAAAUGAAAUGUUAGUCGUUUUUUAAAAUAUCUGGUUAAUAAAGAAAAAAAUUUAAUUUUAUUACUUGUUAUUUUGAUUAAUUAUUUUAAUUAAUUAUUAGCUUGUAAUUUAUUAAUUAGGGGAUAAUUUCUUAUUAAUAUAUUUAUAAAUUUAUUAUUUUGUUAAAUUAAAUGUAAUUAAAAAUUUUAAUUUUUAGUAGUUUGUUAUAAUUAUUUUUAUGUUUAUAUUAUUUUUAUUUAUUUUAAAUAUUUUAUUUAUUAGAUUUAUUUAAUAAUUACUUUUAUGUUAAUAUGAUGGAAUUAGUAAAUAUAAAUUUAUUAUAUUAUAAUUUUUAAAAAUUAUUUUUAAGGAAUUAGGCAAUUUAAAUUUUUCGCCUGUUUAUUAAAAACAUGUUUUUUUGAUUUUGAUUUAAAAUUUAAUCUGCCCAUAUGAUUUAAUUAAAUGGCCGCAGUAUUUUGACUGUGCAAAGGUAGCGUGAUAAUUAGUUUCUUAAUUGGAAGCUGGUAUGAAGGAUUGGACGAGAAAAUUUCUGUCUUAAUUAUAAACAUUUAAUUUUAUUUUUAAGUUAAAAAGCUUAAAUAAUUUUAAGGGACGAGAAGACCCUAUAGAGUUUUAUAUAAAAUUAAAUUUUAAUUAUUGGUUUAUUAAAAUUUUAUUUUUUGUUAUAUUUGAUUGGGGUGAUUAAAAGAUUUAUUUAACUCUUUAGAUUUAAACAAUGAUUUUUGAUAUUUUUGAUCUAUUAUUUAAUUGAAAGAAUAAAUUACCUUAGGGAUAACAGCGUAAUUUUUUUUUAAGUUCUUAUUAAAGUAAAAGAUUGCGACCUCGAUGUUGGAUUAAAAUUAAAUUAGGGUGAAGAAGCUUUAAUUUUAGGUCUGUUCGACCUUUAAAAUUUUACAUGAUCUGAGUUUAAACCGGUGUGAGCCAGGUUGGUUUCUAUCUUUAAAUAAUUAGUAAAUUUAUUAGUACGAAAGGACCAUAAAUUUAAUAUAAUUUAUUUUUUGUUUUUUGAAUUAAUU
This 1280-nucleotide ribosomal RNA is filed under the name Eucnemidae sp. 4 ACP-2013. RNAcentral describes it as "16S ribosomal RNA". The stretch from base 1035 to 1192 matches the Rfam family "Archaeal large subunit ribosomal RNA", at positions 2542 to 2701 of the family's 2987-position model. Lineage: Eukaryota; Metazoa; Arthropoda; Insecta; Coleoptera; Eucnemidae. The record is from RNAcentral.